Molecule: ribosomal RNA, 489 nt
Filed under: uncultured Pelotomaculum sp.
Lineage: Bacteria; Bacillati; Bacillota; Clostridia; Eubacteriales; Desulfotomaculaceae
Description: bacterial SSU rRNA
Rfam family: Bacterial small subunit ribosomal RNA
Source: RNAcentral
AAACUUAAAUGAAUUGACGGGGGCCCGCACAAGUGGUGGAGCAUGUGGUUUAAUUCGACGCAACGCGAAGAACCUUACCAGGGCUUGACAUCCCCUGACCGCGUAUGAAAGUACGUUUUCACCCUCGGGUGACAGGGAGACAGGUGGUGCAUGGUUGUCGUCAGCUCGUGUCGUGAGAUGUUGGGUUAAGUCCCGCAACGAGCGCAACCCCUACGUUUAGUUGCUAACGCGUGAAGGCGAGCACUCUAGACGAACUGCCGUUGACAAAACGGAGGAAGGUGGGGAUGACGUCAAAUCAUCAUGCCCCUUAUGUUCUGGGCUACACACGUGCUACAAUGGCCGGUACAGACGGACGCAAAGCCGCGAGGUGGAGCAAAUCCUAAAAAGCCGGUCUCAGUUCGGAUCGGAGUCUGCAACUCGACUCCGUGAAGCUGGAUUCGCUAGUAAUCGCGCAUCAGCCAUGGCGCGGUGAAUACGUUCCCGGGCCUU